AUGAUCACCACCCUUAUUAUUAGCUAGAUGUUUGAUAGGUGACCACUACCUUGUUAAUGAAAGGGGGUUUUACAUAUUUCCCCCUCCUAAGCUAGCUUAUUACAUAUUUUCCCAAAAAAAAAAAACAAUUACAUAUUUACCCUUUUCUUUGAGAAAUUACUCAAUUACCCUCUACUUAUCCCCCAUAAUAUUCAAUUUUCAUAUCUGAUCGUUUCUCUUCCCAUGCCUAACCCUACAUCACAGACGCCAGCCAAAGAAAACGAUUUAGUGGAUUAGAAGGCGAUUUGAGAUAAAUCUGAUUGAUGAACCAAAUCUCGAGAUCGAAGAUGAAUAUGAAGAUGUUAGCUGUUGAGUGUUCUUCGUUCUCCUAAAGUUUCAAAAGAAGUAAACAAUAUAACCAUACUAAUCAUUUAAUCGUUCUGAUUUGUUUUACUUAUUUCAACCAAAUCAGUUUCACAGGCCAUGAAUCCUUAUUCUUAAACUCUUUUCACUUCAGUGUUGUAGUUUCCGCUCUACUUUUGUGUU
This is a long non-coding RNA of Helianthus annuus (common sunflower), 525 nucleotides long. RefSeq lists it as uncharacterized. The transcript is spliced from 2 exons. NCBI's taxonomy places the organism in Eukaryota, Viridiplantae, Streptophyta, Magnoliopsida, Asterales, Asteraceae. The record is from RefSeq and is a predicted model, not a curated record.